RNAcentral lists this ribosomal RNA (68 nucleotides) under Apilactobacillus kunkeei. Its description in RNAcentral is "Lactobacillus kunkeei partial 23S ribosomal RNA". The record is from RNAcentral. Lineage: Bacteria; Bacillati; Bacillota; Bacilli; Lactobacillales; Lactobacillaceae.
AGGCUAGAAGUGGAAGUGCAGUGAUGUAUGGAGCGGACUAGUACUAAUUGGUCGAGGACUUAACCAAG